CCUACGGGUAGCAGCAGUGAGGAAUAUUGGUCAAUGGACGAGAGUCUGAACCAGCCAAGUAGCGUGAAGGAUGACUGCCCUAUGGGUUGUAAACUUCUUUUAUAAAGGAAUAAAACGAGGCACGUGUGCCUUUUUGCAUGUACUUUAUGAAUAAGGAUCGGCUAACUCCGUGCCAGCAGCCGCGGUAAUACGGAGGAUCCGAGCGUUAUCCGGAUUUAUUGGGUUUAAAGGGAGCGUAGAUGGGUUGUUAAGUCAGUUGUGAAAGUUUGCGUCUCAACCGUAAAAUGGCAAUUGAUACUGGCAGUCGUGAGUACAGGUGAAGGAGGCGGAUUUCGUGGUGUAGCGGUGAAAUGCUUAGAUAUCACGAAGAACCCCGAUUGCGAAGGCAGCUUACUAAACUGUGACUGACAUUGAUGCUCGAAAGUGUGGGUAUCAAACAGGAUUAGAUACCCCAGUAGUC
Molecule: ribosomal RNA, 460 nt
Filed under: uncultured bacterium
Lineage: Bacteria
Description: partial 16S ribosomal RNA
Rfam family: Bacterial small subunit ribosomal RNA
Source: RNAcentral